RNAcentral lists this ribosomal RNA (575 nucleotides) under uncultured bacterium. Its description in RNAcentral is "bacterial SSU rRNA". It matches the Rfam family "Bacterial small subunit ribosomal RNA", at positions 364 to 931 of the family's 1533-position model. The record is from RNAcentral.
UUCGGCAAUGGACGAAAGUCUGACCGAGCAACGCCGCGUGAGUGAAGAAGGUUUUCGGAUCGUAAGACUCUGUUGGUAGAGAAGAACGUUAGUGAGAGUGGAAAGCUCAUCAAGUGACGGUAACUACCCAGAAAGGGACGGCUAACUACGUGCCAGCAGCCGCGGUAAUACGUAGGUCCCGAGCGUUGUCCGGAUUUAUUGGGCGUAAAGCGAGCGCAGGUGGUUUAUUAAGUCUGGUGUAAAAGGCAGUGGCUCAACCAUUGUAUGCAUUGGAAACUGGUAGACUUGAGUGCAGGAGAGGAGAGUGGAAUUCCAUGUGUAGCGGUGAAGUGCGUAGAUAUAUGGAGGAACACCGGUGGCGAAAGCGGCUCUCUGGCCUGUAACUGACACUGAGGCUCGAAAGCGUGGGGAGCAAACAGGAUUAGAUACCCUGGUGGUCCACGCCGUAAACGAUGAGUGCUAGAUGUAGGGAGCUAUAAGUUCUCUGUAUCGCAGCUAACGCAAUAAGCACUCCGCCUGGGGAGUACGACCGCAAGGUUGAAACUCAAAGGAAUUGACGGGGGCCCGCACAAGAA